AGUCACUUAUGAAAAUGAAUGUACCUCUCACAUAACAUAUAUCACUUCCAAUCCUGUCUCAAGUCAGGCUUCUCUCUGAAAUGUUUCCGAACGUUAAUCAGUAAUCAGGGCACAGAUUGGCACAUGCUGCUGGGCUUUGAAGCUAUUCCUAUCCUAUGAUUUGUCACAUCCUUAGUAGUACUUUGCAUGAUUUUCAUACAUAUCCUAUUAGUCUUUCUUGCUUAAGGACUUUAGAUUUCAGCAAAAUACUUGACAGCACCCAACUGUUGGACAUUGCUGAGAGUUUCCCAUUAGCCGAGUACAAGGUGCCGCUUGACAGCUCCAGUUGACUGGAGGAUUGAGAAGUGGGUUGUGCUGCUCGUCUGUGCUGUGACAUCAUUGCUGGGGAGCUCUUCCAAAUGUCACUGCAGAUCUGUACUUCCCACACUGGGUGCUCUUCUGUACCCCAGCUCUUCUUUCUAUUUGCUUGACAGGAGGCAUCCCAAUAUUCUUUGCUGUGUGGAGUUCAGGACAGCUGCUGCCACGGGGAUAUAUUGAAGAAUGAUGACUGGUGCAUAAUUUGAUGUCACUGGCUAAGCCUGGCCUGACCCUGUCAAACCGUCAGGGUCACUUUGUUUGCUUGAAGAACCAGUUUCCUCACAAAUAAAAAAAAAAACAACCCACAAACCUUGCAGUAAGACCUUA
Long non-coding RNA from Pseudopipra pipra, 684 nucleotides. RefSeq lists it as uncharacterized. The record is from RefSeq and is a predicted model, not a curated record. The transcript is spliced from 2 exons. NCBI's taxonomy places the organism in Eukaryota, Metazoa, Chordata, Aves, Passeriformes, Pipridae.